UUGUAGCACGAGUGACGCGAUCAUCAUCGAAUUUGAACCAAUUACUGUCUUUUUCUGGUUUAAUAAGAGCAUAAUAAUGGCCGCCGUGCAAAUCACCUCCAUGGACUAGGACACCGUGCAGCACAUAAACAUGGGAUUCACUUUUAUCGGCUGUUUCAGAGAGAUAAGGCUCUAAAUCAAUUUCUAAUGGGAAUUCAUGUCGAUCGUUAAUUUUCACCAUCAUAUCUCGAAGCAUAUCAUAAUCAAAGCGCUUAAGUUGCAACUGUAGAACAUUGGGAAGCGAUUCAAAAAUUAUACCCUUAUGUGC
Schizosaccharomyces pombe (fission yeast) is the source of this 307-nucleotide non-coding RNA. The record is from the annotation of a GenBank genome assembly. NCBI's taxonomy places the organism in Eukaryota, Fungi, Ascomycota, Schizosaccharomycetes, Schizosaccharomycetales, Schizosaccharomycetaceae.